RNAcentral lists this ribosomal RNA (468 nucleotides) under uncultured bacterium. RNAcentral describes it as "bacterial SSU rRNA". It matches the Rfam family "Bacterial small subunit ribosomal RNA", at positions 330 to 793 of the family's 1533-position model. The record is from RNAcentral.
UCCAGACUCCUACGGGAGGCAGCAGUGAGGAAUAUUGGUCAAUGGGCGCAAGCCUGAACCAGCCAAGUCGCGUGAGGGAAGACGGCCCUACGGGUUGUAAACCUCUUUUGCCGGGGAGCAAGCCUGAGCACGUGUGCCCAGGCGGAGAGUACCCGGAGAAAAAGCAUCGGCUAACUCCGUGCCAGCAGCCGCGGUAAUACGGAAGGUCCGGGCGUUAUCCGGAUUUAUUGGGUUUAAAGGGAGCGUAGGCCGGCUUUUAAGUCAGCUGUGAAAGUCCGCGGCUCAACCGUGGAAUUGCAGUUGAAACUGGAGGCCUUGAGUGCACACAGGGAUGCCGGAAUUCAUGGUGUAGCGGUGAAAUGCUUAGAUAUCAUGAAGAACUCCGAUCGCGAAGGCAAGUGUCCGGGGUGCAACUGACGCUGAGGCUCGAAAGUGCGGGUAUCAAACAGGAUUAGAUACCCCCGUACG